RNAcentral lists this transfer RNA (81 nucleotides) under Pseudochelatococcus contaminans. Its description in RNAcentral is "tRNA-Met". Lineage: Bacteria; Pseudomonadati; Pseudomonadota; Alphaproteobacteria; Hyphomicrobiales; Chelatococcaceae. The record is from RNAcentral.
UGCCGGAUACUGUGGCGGAUGAUCUGGACUAAAGGCUCAUAACCUGAAGGCCGCAGGUUCAAAUCCUGCCCCCCGCAACCA